This 494-nucleotide ribosomal RNA is filed under the name uncultured bacterium. RNAcentral describes it as "bacterial SSU rRNA". It matches the Rfam family "Bacterial small subunit ribosomal RNA", at positions 28 to 478 of the family's 1533-position model. The record is from RNAcentral.
GAUGAACGCUGGCGGCAUGCCUAAGACAUGCAAGUCGUACGAAGUGGCCCGUUGAAGUUUUGUGCUUGCACAAAAUGGAUUCGGUUUACCACUUAGUGGCGCAAGGGUGAGUAACACGUGGGUUAUCUACCUCAGAGACUGGGAUAACAAUUGGAAACGAUUGCUAAUACCGGAUGAUAUCUAAGACGAUACGUUGUCUUAAAUUAAAAGGAGCCUUUAAAGCUUCACUUUGAGAUGGGCCUGCGGCGUAUUAGCUAGUUGGUAGGGUAAUGGCCUACCAAGGCAACGAUGCGUAGCCGACCUGAGAGGGUGAUCGGCCACACUGGGACUGAGACACGGCCCAGACUCCUACGGGAGACAGCAGUUAGGAAUAUUCGUCAAUGGGGAACCCUGAACGAGCAAUGCCGCGUGAGUGAUGACGGUCCUAUGGAUUGUAAACUCUGUUGUUAGGGUAAGAACGACCUAUGUAGGAAAUGACAUAGGAGUGACGGUAC